AUACGUAGGUGACAAGCGUUAUCCGGAUUUACUGGGCGUAAAGGGCGUGUAGGCGGUCUUGCAAGUCAGAAGUGAAAUUCCUGAGCUCAACUCGGGCGCUGCUUCUGAAACUGCAGGACUUGAGUGCUGGAGGGGAUAGCGGAAUUCCUAGUGGAGCGGUAAAAUGCGCAGAUAUUAGGAAGAGCACCGGUGGCGAAGGCGGCUAGCUGGACAGUACCUGACGCUGAGGCGCGAAAGCGUGGGGGGCAAAAAGGAAUAGAUACCCAGGUAGUCCACGCCGUAAACAAUGAAUACUAGGUGUAGGGGGUAUCGACUCCCCCUGGGCCGCAGUUAACACAAUAAGUAUACCGCCUGGGGAGUACGGCCGCAAGGUUGAAACUCAAAUGAAUUGGCGGGG
This 397-nucleotide ribosomal RNA is filed under the name uncultured bacterium. Its description in RNAcentral is "partial 16S ribosomal RNA". It matches the Rfam family "Bacterial small subunit ribosomal RNA", at positions 523 to 918 of the family's 1533-position model. The record is from RNAcentral.